RNAcentral lists this ribosomal RNA (560 nucleotides) under Blastocystis sp. subtype 4. Its description in RNAcentral is "SSU rRNA". It matches the Rfam family "Eukaryotic small subunit ribosomal RNA", at positions 20 to 599 of the family's 1831-position model. Lineage: Eukaryota; Bigyra; Opalinata; Blastocystidae. The record is from RNAcentral.
GUAGUCAUACGCUCGUCUCAAAGAUUAAGCCAUGCAUGUGUAAGUAUAAAUAUUUAACUUUGAAACUGCGAAUGGCUCAUUAUAUCAGUUAUAGUUUAUUUGAUGAAAAGUACUACUUGGAUAACCGUAGUAAUUCUAGAGCUAAUACAUGAUAAAAUCCUCGACUUUGAAGAGGUGUAUUUAUUAGAAUGAAACCAAUAGACUUCGGUCUGUUUGUGAGUAAUAAUAACUAAUCGUAUCGCAUGCUUAGGUAGCGAUAUGUCUUUCAAGUUUCUGCCCUAUCAGCUUUGGAUGGUAGUGUAUUGGACUACCAUGGCAGUAACGGGUAACGAAGAAUUUGGGUUCGAUUUCGGAGAGGGAGCCUGAGAGAUGGCUACCACAUCCAAGGAAGGCAGCAGGCGCGUAAAUUACCCAAUCCUGACAUAGGGAGGUAGUGACAAUAAAUCACAAUGCGGAACUAUUAGUUUUGCAAUUGGAUUGAGAACAAUGUACAAAUGUUAUCGAUAAACAAUUGGAGGGCAAGUCUGGUGCCAGCAGCCGCGGAAUCCAGCUCCAAAGCG